RNAcentral lists this ribosomal RNA (129 nucleotides) under Limosilactobacillus reuteri. RNAcentral's name for it is "Lactobacillus reuteri partial 16S ribosomal RNA". Lineage: Bacteria; Bacillati; Bacillota; Bacilli; Lactobacillales; Lactobacillaceae. The record is from RNAcentral.
UAUUUUAUAUGAGAGUUUGAUCCUGGCUCAGGAUGAACGCCGGCGGUGUGCCUAAUACAUGCAAGUCGUACGCACUGGCCCAACUGAUUGAUGGUGCUUGCACCUGAUUGACGUUGGAUCACCAGUGAG